UGCCGCGCAAGACGCGAUCGACGCGGGC
Molecule: non-coding RNA, 28 nt
Filed under: Bombyx mori (domestic silkworm)
Lineage: Eukaryota; Metazoa; Arthropoda; Insecta; Lepidoptera; Bombycidae
Source: RNAcentral